This 72-nucleotide transfer RNA is filed under the name Bos taurus (domestic cattle). It matches the Rfam family "tRNA". From Rfam's summary of the family: Transfer RNA (tRNA) molecules are approximately 80 nucleotides in length. Their secondary structure includes four short double-helical elements and three loops (D, anti-codon, and T loops). Further hydrogen bonds mediate the characteristic L-shaped molecular structure. tRNAs have two regions of fundamental functional importance: the anti-codon, which is responsible for specific mRNA codon recognition, and the 3' end, to which the tRNAs corresponding amino acid is attached (by aminoacyl-tRNA synthetases). tRNAs cope with the degeneracy of the genetic code in two manners: having more than one tRNA (with a specific anti-codon) for a particular amino acid; and 'wobble' base-pairing, i.e. permitting non-standard base-pairing at the 3rd anti-codon position. RNAcentral also lists the same sequence under 2 other names. The record is from Rfam by way of RNAcentral. Lineage: Eukaryota; Metazoa; Chordata; Mammalia; Artiodactyla; Bovidae.
UCCUUGCUGGCUCAGUUGGUAAAGAAUCUGCCUGCAAUGCAGGAGACCCGGGUUCGAUUCCUGGGUGGAGAA